CCAGCAGCCGCGGUAAUUCCAGCUCCAAUAGCGUAUAUUAAAGUUGUUGCAGUUAAAAAGCUCGUAGUUGGAUCUGGGGUUCGGGUCGGUGGUUUGCCGCUCUGCGGCUACUGCCGUGCUCGACUCUUACUAGCCGGUGCGUCUCGCGGUGCUCUUCAUUGAGUGCCACGAGAGCCUGGCAUGUUUACUUUGAAAAAAUUAGAGUGCUCAAAGCAGGCGCUUGCGCCUGAAUAGUGUUGCAUGGAAUAAUGGAAUAGGACCUCGGUUCUAUUUUGUUGGUUUUCGGAACUUGAGGUAAUGAUUAAGAGGGACGGUCGGGGGCAUUCGUAUUUCGGUGUUAGAGGUGAAAUUCUUGGAUCGCUGAAAGACGGACAAAUGCGAAAGCAUCUGCCAAGAACGUCUCCAUUAAUCAAGAACGAAAGUCAGAGGUUCGAAGACGAUCAGACACCGUCCUAGUUCUGACCAUAAACGAUGCCAACUAGCGAUCCGCAGUGGUUGCUAUAAACGGACUCUGCGAGCAGCUUCCGGGAAACCAAAGUGUUUGGGUUCCGGGGGAAGUAUGGUUGCAAAGCUGAAACUUAAAGGAAUUGACGGAAGGGCACCACCAGGAGUGGAGCCUGCGGCUUAAUUUGACUCAACACGGGGAAACUCACCCGGUCCGGACACCGUAAGGAUUGACAGAUCGAGAGCUCUUUCUUGAUUCGGUGGAUGGUGGUGCAUGGCCGUUCUUAGUUGGUGGAGUGAUUUGUCUGGUUAAUUCCGAUAACGAACGAGACUCUAGCCUGCUAACUAGUUGCGCCGUGUUCAUUCGCGGCUGUAGACUUCUUAGAGGGACAGAUGGCGUUUAGCCAUACGAAAUUGAGCAAUAACAGGUCUGUGAUGCCCUUAGAUGUCCGGGGCCGCACGCGCGCUACACUGAAGGAGUCAGCGUGUGCUAUCCGGGCUCGGAAGAGCUCGGUAACCCGUUGAAACUCCUUCGUGCUUGGGAUUGUGGCUUGUAAUUAUCGCGCAUGAACGAGGAAUUCCCAGUAAGUGCAAGUCAUCAGCUUGCGCUGACUACGUCCCUGCCCUUUGUACACACCGCCCGUCGCUACUACCGAUUGAAUGGUUUAGCAAGGUACUCAGAUUGGUCUCGAUCUUGCACGCAAGUGUGAGAUCGAUGGUCGAGAAGAAGGCCAAACUUGAUCAUUUAGAGGAAGUAAAAGUCGUAACAAGGGA
RNAcentral lists this ribosomal RNA (1218 nucleotides) under Stenostomum bryophilum. Its description in RNAcentral is "SSU rRNA". It matches the Rfam family "Eukaryotic small subunit ribosomal RNA", at positions 567 to 1801 of the family's 1831-position model. The record is from RNAcentral. Lineage: Eukaryota; Metazoa; Platyhelminthes; Stenostomidae.